Molecule: non-coding RNA, 73 nt
Organism: Trichonephila clavata
Lineage: Eukaryota; Metazoa; Arthropoda; Arachnida; Araneae; Nephilidae
Source: the annotation of a GenBank genome assembly
GUCUCAGUAGUGCAAGGGAUAGCAUGUUGGACUUCUAAUUCAAAGGUUAUGGGUUUGAAUCCCACCUGAAAUG